RNAcentral lists this ribosomal RNA (495 nucleotides) under uncultured bacterium. RNAcentral's name for it is "partial 16S ribosomal RNA". It matches the Rfam family "Bacterial small subunit ribosomal RNA", at positions 28 to 507 of the family's 1533-position model. The record is from RNAcentral.
GACGAACGCUGGCGGCGUGCCUAAUACAUGCAAGUAGAACGCUGAAGGAGGAGCUUGCUCUUCUGGAUGAGUUGCGAACGGGUGAGUAGCGCGUAGGUAACCUGCCUGGUAGCGGGGGAUAACUAUUGGAAACGAUAGCUAAUACCGCAUAAGAGUAGAUGUUGCAUGACAUUUGCUUAAAAGGUGCAAUUGCAUCACUACCAGAUGGACCUGCGUUGUAUUAGCUAGUUGGUGGGGUAACGGCUCACCAAGGCGACGAUACAUAGCCGACCUGAGAGGGUGAUCGGCCACACUGGGACUGAGACACGGCCCAGACUCCUACGGGAGGCAGCAGUAGGGAAUCUUCGGCAAUGGACGGAAGUCUGACCGAGCAACGCCGCGUGAGUGAAGAAGGGUGUCGGAUCGUAAAGCUCUGUUGUAAGAGAAGAACGAGUGUGAGAGUGGAAAGUUCACACUGUGACGGUAUCUUACCAGAAAGGGACGGCUAACUACGUG